CAAAGUGCGAGGGCUUUGCCGUAGUUGGAUGCCUGUCUUGUUGUUACCAUGCGAAGGACAAUCUAAUGUGCCGGGAUGUUUGUGAACAGGUAAACAAAACUGUACAUGCUACUAUAAACAAAAGUGUAACACUGAGUUGAAGAACUGUUAAAACUUUAUGGUAAGAAACAGUUACCAAACUUGGCCACUGUAUUGAGAUAGCGUUUGGAAUAAUCUGUUCAAUUUUUCUUUUAUUUCACCAACUUGAAGUUCCUAUUAGCUCUCUACUAAGAAGUACCCUUUCCAAACCAGAAAGCCAUCCAUCUUUCCUUAAAUCUCUGGAGAGAUCAUAGGCAGAGUCCUGGAACACAUUUCUUUCUGAUCAUGUGAAGGGUAAAGUCAUGCCUGACAGACUUCAUUGCUAUUGAUAAUAAAAUAGCUAGAUUUCUGGGUGAGGGUAAAUAAGUGGAUGUCAUUUGCAUUGACUUUAAAGGUUUCAACACUCAAUAUUUUUGUAUCCAUUUUAGCAUAUUAUAGCUUUGAUGGAUAGACAGUUAGAGGACUGAAAAUUUGUUUGAAUAAUCGGGUUCAGAGAAGAGAAGUUAAUAGGUCAUACUUUAUCUGCAGGGCAAUAAGAAGUGGAAUACCAAAGGAAUCUGUACUGGGAUGUGUCCUGUUUAUCAUCUUUAUUAAUGACAUGGAGGAGGCAGUUGAUUCACUCUUGUUGAGUUCUCAGUUGAUACCAAACUGGGAAGAAGAACUGAUAAUCUCAAAAGAAAGACUACCAUCCAGAGCAGCCUGGAUGAAGUCUAUGAAACUCAGCAAGGACAAAUGCAAAGUCCUGCACCUGGAAAUAAUUACUUACAGCAAUACAGGUUGGAGAUUGAUAUACUGGAGAGCAGGUUUGUUGAAAAGGAUCCAGUGGUGUUAGUAUACUGAUAGCAAGUUGAAUGAGAGCCACUGUGCCUUGGCAGAAAAGAGGAUAGCCUGGGAUAUUUUAACAGGAGCACAAUCAGCAUUUCUAAAGAAAUUACUAUCUCCAGAAUUUGUUAUGCCAUAUCUAGAAUACAGCGUCCAGUUUUGGGCCACGCUGUUACAAGGAAGACAUCAGUUAACUGGAGAAAGGUGCACUGAGAUGAUCAUGGAGCAGAUGCCAUGUGUGGGGAAGCUGAGGUAACUGGUUUUAGCAGGGGAGGAAGGAGUACAUCAGCAGCCUUUUGAUACCUGUAAAACGUUGUUCAGGAUGUAGAGCCAGGCUCUUCACAGUAGUCCUUAGUGGGAGGCUGAGAGAACAGGCAUAGAUUAAAAGCAAAGAAUUCUAGCUGGUUAUAAAGUAAAAGUUCUCCACUAUAAGGACAGAAGAGUGUCUGUGCAUUCUUUGUCCUUGUGUGUUUUCAAGAUCUGACUGAGCAACAUGGUCUGACAUCAUGACCCUGCAGGUGACCCUGCUCUGAGCUGGAGGUGGAAAUAAAUUAUUUUCUGAAAUCCCUUCACAUCUGAAUUAUUUUAUUCUUCUAUGACCCUAAAAGACACCAAAUGCUACUGCAGUUCUUUCCUUGCUAUC
Molecule: non-coding RNA, 1543 nt
Organism: Meleagris gallopavo (turkey)
Lineage: Eukaryota; Metazoa; Chordata; Aves; Galliformes; Phasianidae
Source: RefSeq, a predicted model, not a curated record